This 77-nucleotide transfer RNA is filed under the name Synergistes sp. RNAcentral describes it as "tRNA-Arg". It matches the Rfam family "tRNA". From Rfam's summary of the family: Transfer RNA (tRNA) molecules are approximately 80 nucleotides in length. Their secondary structure includes four short double-helical elements and three loops (D, anti-codon, and T loops). The record is from RNAcentral. Lineage: Bacteria; Thermotogati; Synergistota; Synergistia; Synergistales; Synergistaceae.
GCGCCUGUAGCUCAGUUGGAUAGAGCAACUGCCUUCUAAGCAGUGGGGCGGGGGUUCGAAUCCCUCCAGGCGCGCCA